CAAAGUGACAGGUGGUGCAUGGUUGUCGUCAGCUCGUGUCGUGAGAUGUUGGGUUAAGUCCCGCAACGAGCGCAACCCUUAAGCUUAGUUGCCAUCAUUAAGUUGGGCACUCUAAGUUGACUGCCGGUGACAAACCGGAGGAAGGUGGGGAUGACGUCAAAUCAUCAUGCCCCUUAUGAUUUGGGCUACACACGUGCUACAAUGGACAAUACAAAGGGCAGCUAAACCGCGAGGUCAAGCAAAUCCCAUAAAGUUGUUCUCAGUUCGGAUUGUAGUCUGCAACUCGACUACAUGAAGCUGGAAUCGCUAGUAAUCGUAGAUCAGCAUGCUACGGUGAAUACGUUCCCGGGUCUUGUACACACCGCCCGUCACACCACGAGAGUUUGUAACACCCGAAGCCGGUGAG
Molecule: ribosomal RNA, 406 nt
Filed under: Staphylococcus pasteuri
Lineage: Bacteria; Bacillati; Bacillota; Bacilli; Caryophanales; Staphylococcaceae
Description: bacterial SSU rRNA
Rfam family: Bacterial small subunit ribosomal RNA
Source: RNAcentral